AGAGUUUGAUCAUGGCUCAGGACGAACGCUGGCGGCGUGCCUAAUACAUGCAAGUUGCACGCUUGAUUUUCACCGAAGCUUGCUUCACCGAAAAUCAAGAGUAGCGAACGGGUGAGUAACGCGUGGGUAACCUACCUAUCAGCGGGGGAUAACUAUUGGAAACGAUAGCUAAUACCGCAUAACAAUGUUGGAUGCAUAUUCGACAUUUGAAAGUACCAAUUGGUACACUGAGAGAUGGACCCGCGUUGUAUUAGCUAGUUGGUAGUGUAAUGGACUACCAAGGCGAUGAUACAUAGCCGACCUGAGAGGGUGAUCGGCCACAUUGGGACUGAGACACGGCCCAAACUCCUACGGGAGGCAGCAGUAGGGAAUCUUCGGCAAUGGACGAAAGUCUGACCGAGCAACGCCGCGUGAGUGAAGAAGGUUUUCGGAUCGUAAAACUCUGUUGUUAGAGAAGAACGUUGCAUAGAGUGGAAAAUUAUGCAAGUGACGGUAUCUAACCAGAAAGGGACGGCUAACUACGUGCCAGCAGCCGCGGUAAUACGUAGGUCCCGAGCGUUGUCCGGAUUUAUUGGGCGUAAAGCGAGCGCAGGUGGUUUAAUAAGUCUGAUGUAAAAGGCAGUGGCUCAACCAUUGUGUGCAUUGGAAACUGUUAGACUUGAGUGCAGUAGAGGAGAGUGGAAUUCCAUGUGUAGCGGUGAAAUGCGUAGAUAUAUGGAGGAACACCGGUGGCGAAAGCGGCUCUCUGGACUGUCACUGACACUGAGGCUCGAAAGCGUGGGUAGCAAACAGGAUUAGAUACCCUGGUAGUCCACGCCGUAAACGAUGAGUGCUAGUUGUUUGGGGCUAUCCAGCCCUAAGUGACGCAGCA
This 871-nucleotide ribosomal RNA is filed under the name uncultured bacterium. RNAcentral describes it as "bacterial SSU rRNA". It matches the Rfam family "Bacterial small subunit ribosomal RNA", at positions 8 to 853 of the family's 1533-position model. The record is from RNAcentral.